CCUACGGGAGGCAGCAGUGGGGAAUUUUGGACAAUGGGCGCAAGCCUGAUCCAGCAAUGCCGCGUGAGUGAAGAAGGCCUUCGGGUUGUAAAGCUCUUUUGUCAGGGAAGAAACGGUCUACUCUAAUACAGUGGGCUAAUGACGGUACCUGAAGAAUAAGCACCGGCUAACUACGUGCCAGCAGCCGCGGUAAUACGUAGGGUGCAAGCGUUAAUCGGAAUUACUGGGCGUAAAGCGUGCGCAGGCGGUUAUAUAAGUCAGAUGUGAAAUCCCCGGGCUCAACCUGGGAACUGCAUUUGAGACUGUAUGGCUAGAGUGUGUCAGAGGGGGGUAGAAUUCCACGUGUAGCAGUGAAAUGCGUAGAUAUGUGGAGGAAUACCGAUGGCGAAGGCAGCCCCCUGGGAUAACACUGACGCUCAUGCACGAAAGCGUGGGGAGCAAACAGGAUUAGAUACCCUGGUAGUCCACGCCCUAAACGAUGUCUACUAGUUGUCGGGACUUAAUUGUCUUGGUAACGCAGCUAACGCGUGAAGUAGACCGCCUGGGGAGUACGGUCGCAAGAUUAAAACCGUNAAUGAGUAGAGCGNGAGAGAGCGAGACGACGACGAGGGAGGAGG
This 617-nucleotide ribosomal RNA is filed under the name uncultured bacterium. RNAcentral describes it as "bacterial SSU rRNA". It matches the Rfam family "Bacterial small subunit ribosomal RNA", at positions 338 to 944 of the family's 1533-position model. The record is from RNAcentral.